AUUGAACGCUGGCGGCAGGCCUAACACAUGCAAGUCGAGCGGCAGCGGGAAAGUAGCUUGCUACUUUUGCCGGCGAGCGGCGGACGGGUGAGUAAUGCCUGGGGAUCUGCCCAGUCGAGGGGGAUAACUACUGGAAACGGUAGCUAAUACCGCAUACGCCCUACGGGGGAGAGCAGGGGACCUUCGGGCCUUGCGCGAGUGGAUGAACCCAGGUGGGAUUAGCUAGUUGGUGAGGUAAUGGCUCACCAAGGCGACGAUCCCUAGCUGGUCUGAGAGGAUGAUCAGCCACACUGGAACUGAGACACGGUCCAGACUCCUACGGGAGGCAGCAGUGGGGAAUAUUGCACAAUGGGGGAAACCCUGAUGCAGCCAUGCCGCGUGUGUGAAGAAGGCCUUCGGGUUGUAAAGCACUUUCAGCGAGGAGGAAAGGUUGGUAGCUAAUAACUGCCAGCUGUGACGUUACUCGCAGAAGAAGCACCGGCUAACUCCGUGCCAGCAGCCGCUGUAA
This 508-nucleotide ribosomal RNA is filed under the name uncultured bacterium. RNAcentral describes it as "partial 16S ribosomal RNA". It matches the Rfam family "Bacterial small subunit ribosomal RNA", at positions 29 to 523 of the family's 1533-position model. The record is from RNAcentral.